GUAUAUAAACUUUAUGGGCAAAGACCCAGAUCAACAUUCUAUUACAUUCAUAGGAGUAUGUGAGUUGACAUAGAACCUAGAGUGAGACCACACAGCAGUCUUCUCUAAGGCCUACAAAAGGGUGCACAGGUGGAAAUAGAUAAAUAAAUGACAAGCGCGCACACUACCCUAUAGAGGGGCCAGCAACAGCCUAUCAAAUGUUUAUUCGAUAAUGAUCCUUCCGCAGGUUCACCUACGGAAA
RNAcentral lists this unclassified non-coding RNA (241 nucleotides) under uncultured fungus. RNAcentral describes it as "sequence contains ITS1". Lineage: Eukaryota; Fungi. The record is from RNAcentral.